GACGAACGCUGGCGGCGUGCUUAACACAUGCAAGUCGAACGGUGAAGCGCCUUCCUUUUUGGUGGGUGUGGAUGAGUGGCGAACGGGUGAGUAAAAGUGAGGAACCUUCCCCCUUCUUCUGGAUAAACGCAUGGAAAGUGGGCUAAUAAGGGGUAUUCUGGGGCUGGCGGCUGAUGGGGCUGGGGAAGGUAAUGGUUCGGGGGGGGGUGGGCUCGCGGCCUAUCAGCUUGUUGGGGGGGUGAUGGCCUACCAAGGCGGUGACGGGUAGCCGGCCUGAGAGGGUGGACGGUCACACUGGGACUGAGACACGGCCCAGACUCCUACGGGAGGCAGCAGUGGGGAAUAUUGCACAAUGGGCGCAAGCCUGAUGCAGCGACGCCGCGUGAGGGAUGGAGGCCUUCGGGUUGUGAACCUCUUUCGCCAGUGAAGCAGGCCUGCCUCGUUUGUGGGUGGGUUGACGGUAGCUGGAUAAGAAGCGCCGGCUAACUACGUG
This 493-nucleotide ribosomal RNA is filed under the name uncultured bacterium. RNAcentral describes it as "partial 16S ribosomal RNA". It matches the Rfam family "Bacterial small subunit ribosomal RNA", at positions 28 to 507 of the family's 1533-position model. The record is from RNAcentral.